This 28-nucleotide small RNA is filed under the name Bombyx mori (domestic silkworm). Its description in RNAcentral is "ovarian small RNA-32973". The record is from RNAcentral. Lineage: Eukaryota; Metazoa; Arthropoda; Insecta; Lepidoptera; Bombycidae.
UGAUUAAAGAUUUGUAUACAACAAUGAG